GGUCAAGUUAUUAAGGGCGAGUGGUGGAUGCCUUGGCGCGUAGAGGCGAUGAAGGACGUGGCUAGCUGCGAAAAGCUUCGGGGAGGUGCUUAGCGACCUUUGAUCCGGAGGUGUCCGAAUGGGGAAACCCGAACGGCUUGACCGUUCAUCUCACGCCGAAUUCAUAGGCGUGGAGAAGCGAACCCGGGGAAGUGAAACAUCUCAGUACCCGGAGGAAAGUAAAUCAAAACGAGACUCCGCAAGUAGCGGCGAGCGAACGCGGAAAAGGGCAAACCGAGAGGACUCGUCCUCUCGGGGUUGUAGGACCCCGUCGUGGGACUGAUGACGCUAGCAGAAGCUCUUGGAAAAGAGCCCGACACAGGGUGAUAGGCCCGUAUGCGAAAGUGAAGUCAGCCCUAGGGAGUUCCUGAGUACCACAGGGCACGUGAAACCCGGUGGGAAUCUGGGAGGACCAUCUUCCAACCCUAAGUACUCCUACGCGACCGAUAGUGAACAAGUACCGUGAGGGAAAGGUGAAAAGAACCCCGGUUAGGGGAGUGAAAUAGUGCCUGAAACCACUCGCUUACAAGCCGAUCGAGGGCUAUGAGUUCUUCGGAACUAACGCCUGAGAUCGUUCCUUUUGAAUGAUGAGUCCGCGAGUUACGGUGUGUCGCAAGGUUAAGCCGUGAGGUGUAGCCGAAGGGAAACCGAGUGCGAAAUGUGCGUUAAGUGGCAUGCUGUAGACCCGAAGCGUUGUGAUCUACAUAUGGCCAGGUUGAAGCGCGGGUAAAACUGCGUGGAGGACCGAAUCCACCGAAGUUGAAAAUUCGGGGAAUGAGCUGUGUAGGGGGUGAAAGGCCAAUCAAACUGCGUGAUAGCUGGUUCUCCCCGAAAAAUAUUUAGGUAUUGCCUCGGGAAUUCGUUGUCGGAGGUAGAGCACUCAAUGGGCUAGGGGGCUUACCAGCCUACCAAACCUAAUGAAACUCCGAAUGCCGACAAACGUGAGCCCGGGAGGCAGGCUGCGAGUGAUAAGAUUCGUAGCCGAGAGGGAAAGAGCCCAGAUCGCCGGCUAAGGUCCCUAAAUUCAUGCUAAGUGGAAAACGAUGUGGGUACGCAUAGACAACCAGGAGGUUGGCUUAGAAGCAGCCAUCCUUUAAAGAAAGCGUAAUAGCUCACUGGUCAAGUGAACCUGCGCGGAAAAUAUAACGGGGCUCAAGCAUGAUACCGAAGCCGCGGGUUCUUCUUUUCAGAAGAGCGGUAGGGGAGCAUCGAAGUUGCCUGUGAAGGUCGACCGCGAGGACGGCUGGAGGUUCUUCGAGGGCAAAUGCGGACAUGAGUAGCGAUAAAACAGGUGAGAAACCUGUUCGCCGAAAACCCAAGGUUUCCUGGGCCAGGUUCAUCCUCCCAGGGUUAGUCGGGUCCUAAGCCAAGGCCGAGCAGGCGUAGGCGAUGGGAAGCAGGUUAAUAUUCCUGCACUAUUCGGUGAGUGUAAGGUCAGCAGGGACGGAGAAGGGUAGGCAAACCGGCGAACGGAAGUGCCGGUUCAAGCGAGUAGGUGGUUUUCGUAGGAUCAAAACGCGAAAACAACAUCGAGACGUGAUGAGACUUCAAAGCUUCGGCGGCGAGGGAACUUGUCGAUCCCAUGCUUCCAAGAAAAUCUGCGGGCACAGCUCCUCGAGUAUCCGUACCGUAAACCGACACAGGUGGGUAGGUGGAGAACACUAAGGCGCUUGAGAGAACCCUGGUAAAGGAACUCUGCAAAUUAGCACCGUAACUUCGGGAUAAGGUGUGCCAAUGAAGGUGAACGGCUAGCCCGGGUAGCCUUUGUUGGUCGCAGCUAAGCGGGGGUAGCGACUGUUUACCAAAAACACAGGCUUCUGCUAAGUCGAAAGACGACGUAUAGGAGCUGACUCCUGCCCGGUGCCGGAAGGUUAAGGGGAUUGUUUAGCGCAAGCGAGGACAUGAACCGAAGCCCCGGUAAACGGCGGCCGUAACUAUAACGGUCCUAAGGUAGCGAAAUUCCUUGGCGGGUAAGUUCCGUCCUGCACGAAUGGAGUAACGACUUCCCCACUGUCUCUACCAGGGACUCAGCGAAAUUGACCUCGCGGUGAAGAGACCGCGUUCCCGCGGAGGGACGGAUAGACCCCAUGAACCUUCACUGCAACUUGGCACUGACCUUCGGGGCAGAUUGCGUAGGAUAGGUGGGAGGCUAUGAAGCCGUGCUUCUGGGUGCGGCUGAGCCAACCUUGAAAUACCACCCUGUUUGUUCUGGAUGUCUAACCUCGGCCCGUGAAUCCGGGUCAGGGACAAUGUCUGGUGGGCAGUUUGACUGGGGCGGUCGCCUCCCAAAAGGUAACGGAGGCGCGCGAAGGUCCCCUCAGGCUGAUUGGAAACCAGCCGUAGAGUGCAAUGGCAUAAGGGGGCUUGACUGCGAGACCGACGGGUCGAGCAGGUAGGAAACUAGGUCAUAGUGAUCCGGUGGUUCUGUAUGGAAGGGCCAUCGCUCAACGGAUAAAAGGUACUCUGGGGAUAACAGGCUUAUCUCCCCCAAUAGUUCACAUAGACGGGGAGGUUUGGCACCUCGAUGUCGGCUCAUCGCAUCCUGGGGCUGAAGUCGGUCCCAAGGGUUUGGCUGUUCGCCAAUUAAAGCGGUACGCGAGCUGGGUUCAGAACGUCGUGAGACAGUUCGGUCCCUAUCCUCCGUGGGCGCAGGAUACUUGAAAGGGAGCUUUUCUUAGUACGAGAGGACCGGAAAGGACGCACCUCUUGUGGACCUGUUGUUGCACCAGCAGCAUAGCAGGGUAGCUACGUGCGGAAAGGAUAACCGCUGAAAGCAUCUAAGCGGGAAGCCCCCCCUAAGAUAAGGUAUCCCGGGCGUAAGCCCCUAAAGGGGCGUCGAAGACUACGACGUACAUAGGCUGGAGGUGUAAGCGGUGUAAGCCGUUGAGCUGACCAGUACUAAUACCCCGUGCGGCUUGACCAU
Molecule: ribosomal RNA, 2962 nt
Filed under: Deltaproteobacteria bacterium
Lineage: Bacteria; Pseudomonadati; Myxococcota; Myxococcia
Description: 23S ribosomal RNA
Rfam family: Bacterial large subunit ribosomal RNA
Source: RNAcentral